GUUCAAUCCAAAUUGAGUACCAGUCUUGUUGAGCUUCAGAUUCAGAUACGAGAGUUCAAGUCAGCUUAAGUGGCCAGAAUUUUCAGAAUACUGGGGAUCUAAAAGAUGGAUCUUGGCUAAAGACUGACCUGGGGAUGCAGGGAAGAAGACUCCAAAAUACCUAGAGGAUCUUCUCCUUGCGACUCAAGAUGUUCUUCAUUUUAGAGUGAGACAUUGUCCUUCUGCUAUUUGUAGCUGACUUUGGAACCACCGUUCUUUCCAACUUUGACUUAAAACUUGGCUAUAAAUGUUCAUUAUAUUUGAAAGUUUAUAUUUUGGAGUGUGCUUAUGGCACAUCAUCAUUCAAUCUUGCAUUUGUUGUUUGUUUAUUCCCCUUUCUCAUGCUGUACAAUGUUGAUUCCUUGGGUACAAGAGAUGUAGGAAAUUAGAUUGAAUUAAAUGGAAUAGUCAACG
Molecule: long non-coding RNA, 453 nt
Organism: Bubalus bubalis (water buffalo)
Lineage: Eukaryota; Metazoa; Chordata; Mammalia; Artiodactyla; Bovidae
Exons: 2
Source: RefSeq, a predicted model, not a curated record